Molecule: ribosomal RNA, 483 nt
Filed under: uncultured bacterium
Lineage: Bacteria
Description: partial 16S ribosomal RNA
Rfam family: Bacterial small subunit ribosomal RNA
Source: RNAcentral
AUUGAACGCUGGCGGCAGGCCUAACACAUGCAAGUCGAGCGGAUGAAGGGAGCUUGCUCCUGGAUUCAGCGGCGGACGGGUGAGUAAUGCCUAGGAAUCUGCCUGGUAGUGGGGGAUAACGUCCGGAAACGGGCGCUAAUACCGCAUACGUCCUGAGGGAGAAAGUGGGGGAUCUUCGGACCUCACGCUAUCAGAUGAGCCUAGGUCGGAUUAGCUAGUUGGUGGGGUAAAGGCCUACCAAGGCGACGAUCCGUAACUGGUCUGAGAGGAUGAUCAGUCACACUGGAAAUGAGACACGGUCCAGACUCCGACGGGAGGCAGCAGUGGGGAAUAUUGGACAAUGGGCGAAAGCCUGAUCCAGCCAUGCCGCGUGUGUGAAGAAGGUCUUCGGAUUGUAAAGCACUUUAAGUUGGAGGAAGGGCAGUAAGUUAAUACCUUGCUGUUUUGACGUUACCAACAGAAUAAGCACCGGCUAACUUCGUG